CGAGCGUCAUUACAACCCUCAAGCACUGCUUGGUAUUGGAUGUGACCAGUCAUCUGGUGCAUCUCAAAACAAUCAGCGGUAGCACUCAGCUUCUAGCGUAGUAUAUUUCUCGCUAUGGAGCUGCAGCUGGUGUACCAGCUAGAGCCCUAAAUCAUAUCAAGGUUGACCUCGGAUCAGGUAGGGAUACCCGCUGAACUUAA
Molecule: unclassified non-coding RNA, 200 nt
Filed under: soil metagenome
Description: partial contains internal transcribed spacer 2 and large subunit ribosomal RNA
Source: RNAcentral